Molecule: ribosomal RNA, 496 nt
Filed under: uncultured bacterium
Lineage: Bacteria
Description: partial 16S ribosomal RNA
Rfam family: Bacterial small subunit ribosomal RNA
Source: RNAcentral
GACGAACGCUGGCGGCGUGCCUAAUACAUGCAAGUCGAGCGAUCAAAGGUGGUGCUUGUACCUCCUGGGUUAGCAGCGAACGGGUGAGUAACGCGUGGGUAAUCUGCCUAUGAGCGGGGGACAACUUUUGGAAACGAAUGCUAAUACCGCAUAAUAACUUUAACCACAAGUUUUAAUAUUGAAAGAUGCAAUUGCAUCAAUCAAUGAUGAUCCCGCGUUGUCUUAGCUAGUUGGUGAGGUAAAGGCUUACCAAGGCAAGCAUGCUUAACCGACCUGAAAGGGGGACGGCCAAAUUGGGAAUGGGACACCGCCCAAGCUCCUAACGGAGGGAGCAGGAAGGAAUCUUCGGCAAUGGGCGGAAAGCUGACCGGACAACGGCGGGGGAGGGAAGAAAGUUUUCGGAUCGUAAAACUCUGUUGGUAGGGAAGAACGUUGGGGAGAAGGAAAAGCGCAUGAAGUGACGGUAACUACCCAGAAAGGGACGGCUAACUACGUG